CAGGCUUAACACAUGCAAGUCGAGGGGCAGCAUGGUCUUAGCUUGCUAAGGCCGAUGGCGACCGGCGCACGGGUGAGUAACACGUAUCCAACCUGCCGUCUACUCUUGGACAGCCUCUGAAAGGAAGAUUAAUACAAGAUGGCAUCAUGAGUCCACAUGUUCACAUGAUUAAAGGUAUUCCGGUAGACGAUGGGGAUGCGUUCCAUUAGAUAGUAGGCGGGGUAACGGCCCACCUAGUCUUCGAUGGAUAGGGGUUCUGAGAGGAAGGUCCCCCACAUUGGAACUGAGACACGGUCCAAACUCCUACGGGAGGCAGCAGUGAGGAAUAUUGGUCAAUGGGCGAGAGCCUGAACCAGCCAAGUAGCGUGAAGGAUGACUGCCCUAUGGGUUGUAAACUUCUUUUAUAAAGGAAUAAAGUCGGGUAUGGAUACCCGUUUGCAUGUACUUUAUGAAUAAGGAUCGGCUAACUCCGUGCCAGCAGCCGCGGUAAUACGGAGGAUCCGAGCGUUAUCCGGAUUUAUUGGGUUUAAAGGGAGCGUAGAUGGAUGUUUAAGUCAGUUGUGAAAGUUUGCGGCUCAACCGUAAAAUUGCAGUUGAUACUGGAUAUCUUGAGUGCAGUUGAGGCAGGCGGAAUUCGUGGUGUAGCGGUGAAAUGCUUAGAUAUCACGAAGAACUCCGAUUGCGAAGGCAGCCUGCUAAGCUGCAACUGACAUUGAGGCUCGAAAGUGUGGGUAUCAAACAGGAUUAGAUACCCUGGUAGUCCACACGGUAAACGAUGAAUACUCGCUGUUUGCGAUAUACGGCAAGCGGCCAAGCGAAAGCGUUAAGUAUUCCACCUGGGGAGUACGCCGGCAACGGUGAAACUCAAAGGAAUUGACGGGGGCCCGCACAAGCGGAGGAACAUGUGGUUUAAUUCGAUGAUACGCGAGGAACCUUACCCGGGCUUAAAUUGCAGAUGAAUUACGGUGAAAGCCGUAAGCCGCAAGGCAUCUGUGAAGGUGCUGCAUGGUUGUCGUCAGCUCGUGCCGUGAGGUGUCGGCUUAAGUGCCAUAACGAGCGCAACCCUUGUUGUCAGUUACUAACAGGUUCUGCUGAGGACUCUGACAAGACUGCCAUCGUAAGAUGUGAGGAAGGUGGGGAUGACGUCAAAUCAGCACGGCCCUUACGUCCGGGGCUACACACGUGUUACAAUGGGGGGUACAGAGGGCCGCUACCACGCGAGUGGAUGCCAAUCCCAAAAACCUCUCUCAGUUCGGACUGGAGUCUGCAACCCGACUCCACGAAGCUGGAUUCGCUAGUAAUCGCGCAUCAGCCACGGCGCGGUGAAUACGUUCCCGGGCCUUGUACACACCGCCCGUCAAGCCAUGGGAGCCGGGGGUACCUGAAGUGCGUAACCGCGAGGAGCGCCCUAGGGUAAAACUGGUGACUGGGGCUAAGUCAUAACA
Molecule: ribosomal RNA, 1445 nt
Filed under: uncultured organism
Description: 16S ribosomal RNA
Rfam family: Bacterial small subunit ribosomal RNA
Source: RNAcentral